RNAcentral lists this ribosomal RNA (406 nucleotides) under uncultured bacterium. RNAcentral describes it as "partial 16S ribosomal RNA". It matches the Rfam family "Bacterial small subunit ribosomal RNA", at positions 28 to 526 of the family's 1533-position model. The record is from RNAcentral.
GACGAACGCUGGCGGCAUGCCUAAUACAUGUAAGUAGAACGAGUUGCGAACGGGUGAGUAACGCGUGGUAACCUUCCUCAUAGCGGGGGAUAACUAUUGGAAACGAUAGCUAAUACCGCAAACUUUUUGAUGGAUCUGCGUUGUAUUAGCUAGUUGGUGGGGUAACGGCUCACCAAGGCGACGAUCCGUAGCUGGUUUGAGAGGACGACCAGCCACACUGGGACUGAGAAAAGGCCCAGACUCCUACGGGAGGCAGCAGUGGGGAAUAUUGCACAAUGGGCGCAAGCCUGAUGCAGCCAUGCCGCGUGUAUGAAGAAGGCCUGCGGGUUGUAAAGUACUUUCAGCGAGGAGGCGUUACUCGCAGAAGAAGCACCGGCUAACUCCGUGCCAGCCGCCGCGGUAAUUC